RNAcentral lists this ribosomal RNA (497 nucleotides) under uncultured bacterium. RNAcentral's name for it is "partial 16S ribosomal RNA". It matches the Rfam family "Bacterial small subunit ribosomal RNA", at positions 899 to 1397 of the family's 1533-position model. The record is from RNAcentral.
ACUCAAAGGAAUUGACGGGGGCCCGCACAAGCGGUGGAGCAUGUGGUUUAAUUCGACGCAACGCGCAGAACCUUACCAACUCUUGACAUGGCCGGUUUACCCGCAGAGAUGCGGCGUCCCGCAAGGGGCCGGUUACAGGUGCUGCAUGGCUGUCGUCAGCUCGUGUCGUGAGAUGUUGGGUUAAGUCCCGCAACGAGCGCAACCCUUGUCCGUAGUUGCCAUCAGGUUGGGCUGGGCACUCUACGGGGACUGCCGGUGACAAGCCGGAGGAAGGUGGGGAUGACGUCAAGUCCUCAUGGCCCUUACGAGUUGGGCUACACACGUGCUACAAUGGUGGUGACAGAGGGCAGCGAGGCUGCGAGGCCAAGCAAAUCCCAAAAAGCCAUCUCAGUUCGGAUUGCACUCUGCAACUCGAGUGCAUGAAGGUGGAAUCGCUAGUAAUCGCGGAUCAGCACGCCGCGGUGAAUACGUUCCCGGGCCUUGUACACACCGCCCGU